Molecule: ribosomal RNA, 560 nt
Filed under: Enterobacterales bacterium
Lineage: Bacteria; Pseudomonadati; Pseudomonadota; Gammaproteobacteria; Enterobacterales
Description: bacterial SSU rRNA
Rfam family: Bacterial small subunit ribosomal RNA
Source: RNAcentral
UGCCUUGAGGCGUGGCUUCCGGAGCUAACGCGUUAAGUCGACCGCCUGGGGAGUACGGCCGCAAGGUUAAAACUCAAAUGAAUUGACGGGGGCCCGCACAAGCGGUGGAGCAUGUGGUUUAAUUCGAUGCAACGCGAAGAACCUUACCUACUCUUGACAUCCAGAGAACUUUCCAGAGAUGGAUUGGUGCCUUCGGGAACUCUGAGACAGGUGCUGCAUGGCUGUCGUCAGCUCGUGUUGUGAAAUGUUGGGUUAAGUCCCGCAACGAGCGCAACCCUUAUCCUUUGUUGCCAGCGGUUCGGCCGGGAACUCAAAGGAGACUGCCAGUGAUAAACUGGAGGAAGGUGGGGAUGACGUCAAGUCAUCAUGGCCCUUACGAGUAGGGCUACACACGUGCUACAAUGGCGCAUACAAAGAGAAGCGACCUCGCGAGAGCAAGCGGACCUCAUAAAGUGCGUCGUAGUCCGGAUUGGAGUCUGCAACUCGACUCCAUGAAGUCGGAAUCGCUAGUAAUCGUAGAUCAGAAUGCUACGGUGAAUACGUUCCCGGGCCUUGCACCC